GUUCUGAUCCAAUAGGAGCGCGGUGGGGGCGUGGACGGGUUCUGUUUACUCCUGUCCUGCAGAAAGUGGGACAGACUGAAGGCUGCAGCUGUCACACCGACAGGGAUCCACAUGAGCCUCUGCAGCACAGCAUUCAUGGAGACCUUUGUAAGAGCCGCCAUGCUGAGAAGAAGCUGGAGCGGCAAAACUCGACAUGUGGCCUGGAGCGAAACCUGGCAGGACGCAGAUGUCAUGGCAGCUGCCGACAGGGAGGAGUGGGACAGCCAAUCAGUGACUCAGAUCGGCGACCUGGACUCUGACAUGGAUCAGCUGGUCGGAACCACCGGAGUCGGUUCUGAGGUUGUGGUUCUGCCCUUCGCUGCGCCGGGGAAGCGGGAAUCGUUCUCCAUCUGUGAGCCGCAGGAGGAGCUGAACCCGAGUUUAUGGGCCGCUGAUGACAGGGAGGAGGACCAGGUUUUUGACUGGGUUUGGGACGAGCGCUGCAAGUCGUCCGGCGCCUCCCUGAGCUGCGACGACAGGAAGGUGAGCUUCCACUCGGACUACAGCUGCGGCACGGCCGCCAUCCGCGGCAACAGGGCGCUUUCAGAGGGCCAGCACUAYUGGGAGGUGAAGAUGACUUCUCCCGUCUACGGAACCGACAUGAUGGUUGGGGUCGGAACCUCUGAGGUGAACCUGGAUAAGUUCAAGUUCAGCUUUGGCAGCCUGCUGGGCCACGAUGAGGACAGCUGGGGCCUCUCAUACACAGGUCUGCUCCAACACAAAGGAGACAAAGUGAAGUUCUCCCCUCGGUUCGGUCAGGGCUCGGUCAUAGGAGUUCACCUGGACACCUGGCACGGCACUUUGACCUUCUACAAGAAUCGGCACUGCAUAGGUGUGGCUGCUACCAGGUUGCAGAGCAAGAAGUUCUACCCCAUGGUUUGCUCCACGGCCGCUAAGAGUAGCAUGAAGGUGGUGUGCGCCUGCUUCGCGCCGACCUCCCUGCAGUACCUCUGCUGCGCCCGGCUGCGCCAGAUGUUGCCCAGUUGCCCUGACGUGGUUGACGCGUUGCAGCUGCCGCCGGGCCUGCGCACCGUCCUGCAGAGUCAACUGGACUGGGUGUUCGCCCUCAGCAGCGACCCGGACCCGUCCGAGGACGAUGACUGCAUGCAGACAAGCGUGCCUUCCAGCCCAAGUGCCUGCGCCGAGCCGGCGCCUCAGGAUCGGCCCGCAGCAUGCCACUGUCCGCCGACUCCGCCGAGCAGCGACUACGACAGCUGCUGCUCCGACCCGGAGGAUUAUCAGUGCAAACGAUGCCGCUGGACGUGACCCGCUUGCGUUUGUGCUGCAAAGCUUAUUCUACUUCUGCCAUGUCAAAUUUCACUACACUGCAAAAACACAAAAUCUUAAGUAUUUUUGGUCUAGUUCCUACUGCAAAUAUCUUAGUACACUUGAAAUGAUUAAAACUAACUAACAAGUAACUUUUCAGUAAAAUACAAGAACUUGUUUUAAUAAGUCAAUAAUUCGUUAGUAUUGAUGAAUAAUUACUAGUUUCACUAUAAGUUAACUUAUAACAUGGGAUAAAAGUUGUAAGUGAAAUAAUCUGUCAGUGGAAAUAGAACUGGGUUGCUAGGUAACGACUGGGCUUGGCUGAGGUUGCUAGGUAACGACUGGGCUUGGCUGAGGUUGCUAGGUAACGCCUGGGCUUG
Molecule: non-coding RNA, 1685 nt
Organism: Poecilia reticulata (guppy)
Lineage: Eukaryota; Metazoa; Chordata; Actinopteri; Cyprinodontiformes; Poeciliidae
Source: RefSeq, a predicted model, not a curated record